This is a long non-coding RNA of Olea europaea var. sylvestris, 661 nucleotides long. RefSeq lists it as uncharacterized. NCBI's taxonomy places the organism in Eukaryota, Viridiplantae, Streptophyta, Magnoliopsida, Lamiales, Oleaceae. The transcript has 2 exons. The record is from RefSeq and is a predicted model, not a curated record.
CGCAUUUAACUCAUCAUUUCAUCUUAUUAUUUUGGAGUAGUUCUCAAGUUAAAAUGAUUAAUGAUUACUACAUGGAAUAUAUGCAUGUUUGUAUAAAUAAUAUUAAAUAUGGAAUUUUGCGGUGAAAUAUUUGGGCUAUUCGUGGCAAGAUGAGUGGAAAAUGAAGAAAUUGAACAACCUGUGCUGGGAUGAUCAACCAGGAUCCCCUUUUUCUUUCUUCUUGUUGAUGACAAGCCAGAUUCAGCUAAGAUUGGCAAAUAUGUUGAGGGUUGCAGAGAUUAUAUGUCUUAUAAUGGCUCUCAAAGUUCGGGAUUUGAACUUUCCGAUCUGAAACAUGCCCGGAGAUUGUCCCCGAAGCCCCAUCUCCCCAUCCUUUGGUAAUGCCACAUUCUAUUAAUAAACUGUGGACAUGUUUCUUGUGAGUGAAACAUGUGAGUGUUCCUGGAAGUCAUUCUGUGAGGUUCCAAGUUUUUGCUCACAUUUAGACUAGUGGGAUCAUAUCUUUCUAAGCGAUGGAAGAUUUAUAAAUAUUUCCAUUGCAAACUUAAAUGAAGGCAAGUCAGUUUGGCUAUUGUAAGCAUUUUCAGGAUUUGGAUCUUCUCUUUUUUGAAGAUUUCAUUAUGUUUUUUGCGUAUGUAUUUAUUGACAAUUAUGGGUUCUA